Molecule: non-coding RNA, 246 nt
Organism: Manis javanica (Malayan pangolin)
Lineage: Eukaryota; Metazoa; Chordata; Mammalia; Pholidota; Manidae
Source: RefSeq, a predicted model, not a curated record
AGCAUGGGUUGAUGCGCUACUGACCUCUUGCAGGGGGUCGCGUGAAGACAUGGAAGCGGCGCUGGUUCAUCCUGACUGACAGCUGCCUCUACUACUUCGAGUUCACCACGGACAAGGAGCCACGGGGAAUCAUACCCCUGGAGAACCUCUCAGUGCAGAAGGUGGAUGACCCCAAGAAGCCAUUUUGCCUGGAGCUCUACAACCCCAGCUGCAGGGGCCAGAAGAUAAAGGCCUGCAAGACAGACG